GAGGGAAUAGCUCAGUGGUAGAGCACCUGCUUAGCAUGCAGGAGGUCCUGGGUUCAAUCCCCAGUGCCUCCA
Molecule: transfer RNA, 72 nt
Filed under: Camelus dromedarius (Arabian camel)
Lineage: Eukaryota; Metazoa; Chordata; Mammalia; Artiodactyla; Camelidae
Also listed under: 2 other names
Rfam family: tRNA
About the family: Transfer RNA (tRNA) molecules are approximately 80 nucleotides in length. Their secondary structure includes four short double-helical elements and three loops (D, anti-codon, and T loops).
Source: Rfam by way of RNAcentral